UGCGGGGGUACAGGUUAGUCGAGGAAGUGAAAAGGCAGACUUUGUCGUACCCAGUGUCCUCUCUGAAGGGGUUAGUGUGUGAGGGCUCCAGCCUGCUACUUCUGAUGCUACUCCAUCUGAGAAAGAACUUGCCGAAAAACAUGACAUUCCUCUCCUUUCACCAGGACACACAUCUCAACCUCCACAUAUUUGAAGUCUGGUGGGUCAUACUGGUCAGAGGGAGCUGGGGUGCAGACACCAGACUGUGGGAGUGAAAGUUGUGGGUGUGUUUGGAAGGACGGUGGACUCAGUGGAGGAUAUCCCAGCCAAUUGGCAGUGUUGGCACUGCUACUUUCUACCUGAUGGGUAACUGGCCAGCCGAGUGCAGGUGGGCUUUCCCGUCAAGAUGAGGCUCCAGCUGCUCCCUCCCCAAAUACACACAGUUGCACACAUACACACACACACACACACACACACACACACACACACACACACACACACAUACACACUAUUAGGAAUGUUCCCCUAUUUACAUGUAUGUGUGUCAGAGUUGAGGGACGCUAAGCAAGUAUUUUAGAAGGGCCGUCUGGUGUGGGAGGAGGACAUGCAGAUUCACUCCAGGUUCCUGGACAGAAAGGACGAGUUGAAGGUGGAGCAUGCCUCGUACCUGUGGAAGCACCUGGAACUCUGUGCCAUGAUGGCCGACUUCUUGCAAUUCCUGUUACUACGAAAACCGAGCUAUGUCUUCAUGUUCGCCCAUGAGGACAUCUCUCCCUUCGCCUCCCGGCAACCCUUCAAUACCUUCAAUACCUCCUCACCUUGAGGACACACACUGUGCCUGCGUCUCAAUAGUCUUGUAGGUUCCUCCUACUGGCACUUUAGUGAGGACAAUACUGUUCUGGUUAGCACUUGUCAUUAGUAUGUAGAGGCCCUCCAUCAUCAAAUGAAUGCUUUUAUGUAUCUUUUUUGUAUUUUAUUUUGUGAUACUGUUUUUACUUUCUACUGUUUUUGUAUGAGCUGCAAUGAAACAAAUUCCAAUCAACUGUUGAUAUGCCAGUCGCAAGAGUUACAGUUGUCAGUUGGUGUGAAUAAAAUAUUAUUAUUAUUAUUUCAUGUCUUGUAUAUUAACUUUAUCCUCGAGUGUGAUAAUUUCAGUAACUGCUACCUUGCUUUGGCUCUGAUGUGAUCACCCCAUAAAUCUGUAAGAAUGAAAUGCUAUGUAUGUAUGAUCUGGUUUCUGAAUGGAAUACUUUGAUGAGUGUCCUUUCAACUGGCCUUUACCUAAUUUGUCAAGACAACAUGGUUUUGUUGUCCUUUAAACUUUAAUCCAUACCUCUGAUUCAACCACAAAUGUGUCACACCCUGAUCAGUUUCACCUGUCCUCGUUAUUGUCAGCACACCUUCCAGGUGUCGCUUGUUUUCCCCACUGUAUUUAUCCCUGUUUCCUGUCUCUCUGUG
This 1437-nucleotide long non-coding RNA is filed under the name Salmo salar (Atlantic salmon). RNAcentral's name for it is "lncRNA (ENSSSAG00000118907.1)". Lineage: Eukaryota; Metazoa; Chordata; Actinopteri; Salmoniformes; Salmonidae. The record is from RNAcentral.